UGGGGUUCGCAAGGGGCCCUAUUGUAUUCCUGAGUCUGGCCAAACCUUGUAAGCGUACACUGCAACCAGUUAGACGAUCAGCAGUGGGCACAGUGGUUGGAGUCAGCCAGCAAUGGUCGGCUCCUUCUACGAAGCAAUUGUUUGUGUGGGUUAGUAGUAGUGCGGUUGUGCUUCGGUGCUUCUCGUGUUGCUGGGCCCAUGCAAGUGAACUACAGCUGAAUACUGACUGGCGAAAUGAAAAUCACCUUUUAGGUGUUAGAGACAAAGCAGCUAGCCAGACGUGGGCCUACACGGUCGACUGUUAGGUCUAAGCUUGGCGCUCUUGAAUUCAGACUUGCUUGCUACCAGUGGGGCAACUCCUGGUGCUUGUAUAGCUUCUGUCUAAUCGGGCGUCGACUUGGCUUGGCAUUGUUCGGUCGUGCUACGAUAGGGUUUGCGUCUGAGUUAGUUUGCAAUGUGAAU
Molecule: ribosomal RNA, 462 nt
Filed under: Aceria tosichella (wheat curl mite)
Lineage: Eukaryota; Metazoa; Arthropoda; Arachnida; Trombidiformes; Eriophyidae
Description: partial 28S ribosomal RNA
Source: RNAcentral